Molecule: ribosomal RNA, 253 nt
Filed under: uncultured bacterium
Lineage: Bacteria
Description: partial 16S ribosomal RNA
Rfam family: Bacterial small subunit ribosomal RNA
Source: RNAcentral
UACGGAGGGCGCAAGCGUUGUCCGGAAUUAUUGGGCGUAAAGAGCUCGUAGGCGGCUUGUCACGUCGGGUGUGAAAGCCCGGGGCUUAACCCCGGGUCUGCAUUCGAUACGGGCUAGCUAGAGUGUGGUAGGGGAGAUCGGAAUUCCUGGUGUAGCGGUGAAAUGCGCAGAUAUCAGGAGGAACACCGGUGGCGAAGGCGGAUCUCUGGGCCAUUACUGACGCUGAGGAGCGAAAGCGUGGGGAGCGAACAGG